UUGAACUUAAUAUUUUAAUGUUGUUACUCCUUUUUUUAGCUUCAAGGGGAACAAUAAACUUGCAUAUUCUAGAUGUCUCAAGGUUUCUUACUUUGCAGUCUCAGCAGCAGACAGUUCCAGAUGAUAAUACUUCAACGUGGACCAAUGCAGCAGCUGAGAACAAACCUUCCUCCGUUAGUGAUCAACCUGGUGGUUGGAAUUCCUGGGGUAAAACACCUGCAUCUGAAGCUGGCACUGUUGGUGGGUGGGGAGAUGCAGCUGCUUCAAAAGCUGAGAACCAACCUUCCUCGGCUAGUGAUCAACCUGGUGGUUGGAAUCCCUGGGGUAAAACACCUGCUUCUGAAGCUGGCACUGUUGGUGGUUGGGGAGAUGCAGGUGCUUCAAAAGUUGAAGCUUCUCCGUGGGAAAAACAAGGAGCUUCUACUUCCAAUG
This 432-nucleotide long non-coding RNA is filed under the name Capsella grandiflora. RNAcentral's name for it is "long non-coding RNA (CGRA_LNC001759)". Lineage: Eukaryota; Viridiplantae; Streptophyta; Magnoliopsida; Brassicales; Brassicaceae. The record is from RNAcentral.